AGAAUCAACGCUGGCGGCGUGCCUAACACAUGCAAGUCGAACGAGAAAGUGGAGCAAUCCAUGAGUAAAGUGGCGCACGGGUGAGUAACACGUGACUAACCUACCCUUGAGUGGGGGAUAAACCUAGAGAAAUCUGGGCUAAUACCGCAUAAUACCUUCGGGUCAAAGGAGCAAUUCGCUUAAGGAGGGGGUCGCGGCCGAUUAGUUAGUUGGCGGGGUAAUGGCCCACCAAGACUGUGAUCGGUAUCCGGCCUGAGAGGGCGCACGGACACACUGGAACUGAAACACGGUCCAGACUCCUACGGGAGGCAGCAGUGGGGAAUUUUGCGCAAUGGGGGAAACCCUGACGCAGCAACGCCGCGUGGAGGAUGAAGCCCCUUGGGGCGUAAACUCCUUUCGAUCGGGAAGAUAAUGACGGUACCGAGAGAAGAAGCCCCGGCUAACUUCGUGCCAGCAGCCGC
RNAcentral lists this ribosomal RNA (461 nucleotides) under uncultured bacterium. RNAcentral's name for it is "SSU rRNA". It matches the Rfam family "Bacterial small subunit ribosomal RNA", at positions 26 to 518 of the family's 1533-position model. The record is from RNAcentral.